GUAGGUGAACCUGCGGAGGGAUCAUUACCGAGUGCGGGCCCUCGCGCCCAACCUCCAACCCUUUGUCGAUUACUAUCCGUUGCCUCGGGGGGCGACCCGGACCCUGCGCGCGGGAGUCCCCCAGAGGUCCAACCAAACACACUGCGUCUUUACGUCGAGUAUUGAAAAAACAAUCAAUCAAAACUUUCAACAACGGAUCUCUUGGUUCUGGCAUCGAUGAAGAACGCAGCAUCUGACUGACUACGUGGUU
RNAcentral lists this unclassified non-coding RNA (250 nucleotides) under plant metagenome. Its description in RNAcentral is "partial contains small subunit ribosomal RNA, internal transcribed spacer 1, and 5.8S ribosomal RNA". The record is from RNAcentral.